UACACUCCUACGGGAGGCAGCAGUGGGGAAUAUUGCCCAAUGGGCGCAAGCCUGAUGCAGCCAUGCCGCGUGUGUGAAGAAGGCCUUCGGGUUGUAAAGCACUUUCAGCGGGGAGGAAGGCGAUACGGUUAAUAACCGUGUUGAUUGACGUUACCCGCAGAAGAAGCACCGGCUAACUCCGUGCCAGCAGCCGCGGUAAUACGGAGGGUGCAAGCGUUAAUCGGAAUUACUGGGCGUAAAGCGCACGCAGGCGGUCUGUCAAGUCGGAUGUGAAAUCCCCGGGCUCAACCUGGGAACUGCAUUCGAAACUGGCAGGCUUGAGUCUUGUAGAGGGGGGUAGAAUUCCAGGUGUAGCGGUGAAAUGCGUAGAGAUCUGGAGGAAUACCGGUGGCGAAGGCGGCCCCCUGGACAAAGACUGACGCUCAGGUGCGAAAGCGUGGGGAGCAAACAGGAUUAGAUACCCCGGUAGUCCCA
Molecule: ribosomal RNA, 474 nt
Filed under: uncultured organism
Description: partial 16S ribosomal RNA
Rfam family: Bacterial small subunit ribosomal RNA
Source: RNAcentral